AGCCCAUUCCCGUUUCCCAUUUCCGCGGACAUUCGAGGCGAGUGCGGUUGUGGACCUGGGACAUGGACGUGGACGUGAAUCUGGACGCAGACGUGGACAAGGCGUGCAAUCAAGCCGCGUGUCUGGCAGUCAACUAGUCACUCACUUUGGCCAGAGAGACUGCGUCAGUCCGUCAGUCAAAUGCUCGCUUUAAUUUCGCUUUACUUGCGAUUUGCAAAGGCACGUGGAGAAAUCUAGUUAUGAGAUUGAUUAGAAUUAUAGACCCCUCUAUGAUAAUAGUCAUCAUUUUUAAAUAUAUAUUCAUGUUUCAUUCAAGUGUAUAGCUGCAUGAGUUGCUGGAGUUGCUGCAUGACUACCGGGCAUAAUUUCUGCCCGACCGAACGAAAUAUGGGACCGAAAUGAACACAUUGCCAGGUUGGCGGCUCUGCGCACGCGCACAGUUGUUGGCCAGGCUUGAAGGAGCCCCUCUUCGUGAAUCACUCCUCUGCCUCACCCUGCAUCAACACCCACUCCCUUCUGCAUCCUCCACAUAGCAAUCUGCGGUUCGUUUUGGCCUG
This is a long non-coding RNA of Drosophila eugracilis, 557 nucleotides long. RefSeq lists it as uncharacterized. NCBI's taxonomy places the organism in Eukaryota, Metazoa, Arthropoda, Insecta, Diptera, Drosophilidae. The record is from RefSeq and is a predicted model, not a curated record. The transcript is spliced from 3 exons.